This 21-nucleotide small nuclear RNA is filed under the name Arabidopsis thaliana (thale cress). Its description in RNAcentral is "snRNA_07588". Lineage: Eukaryota; Viridiplantae; Streptophyta; Magnoliopsida; Brassicales; Brassicaceae. The record is from RNAcentral.
AUGAACAGCGGUAUCAGCUUU